This 234-nucleotide ribosomal RNA is filed under the name uncultured bacterium. Its description in RNAcentral is "partial 16S ribosomal RNA". It matches the Rfam family "Bacterial small subunit ribosomal RNA", at positions 104 to 334 of the family's 1533-position model. The record is from RNAcentral.
CGGACGGGGUGAGUAAUGUCUGGGAAACUGCCCGAUGGAGGGGGAUAACUACUGGAAACGGUAGCUAAUACCGCAUAACGUCGCAAGACCAAAGAGGGGGGACCUUCGGGCCUCGCGCCAUCAGAUGAACCCAUAUGGGAUUAGCUAGUAGGUGAGGUAACGGCUUACCUAGGCGACGAUCCCUAGCUGGUCUGAGAGGAUGACCAGCCACACUGGAACUGAGACACGGUCCAG